UACGAAGGGGGCUAGCGUUGCUCGGAUUGACUGGGCGUAAAGAGCUCGUAGGCGGUUUGUCGCGUCGAAUGUGAAAACCCGGGGCUCAACCCCGGGCCUGCAUUCGAUACGGGCAGACUAGAGUUCGGUAGGGGAGUCUGGAAUUCCUGGUGUAGCGGUGAAAUGCGCAGAUAUCAGGAGGAACACCGGUGGCGAAGGCGGGACUCUGGGCCGAUACUGACGCUGAGGAGCGAAAGCGUGGGGAGCAAACAGG
RNAcentral lists this ribosomal RNA (253 nucleotides) under uncultured bacterium. RNAcentral describes it as "partial 16S ribosomal RNA". It matches the Rfam family "Bacterial small subunit ribosomal RNA", at positions 524 to 776 of the family's 1533-position model. The record is from RNAcentral.